GACGAACGCUGGCGGCGUGCUUAACACAUGCAAGUCGAGCGGGAAGGCCCUGCUUUUGUGGGGUGCUCGAGUGGCGAACGGGUGAGUAACACGUGAGUAACCUGCCCAUGACUUUGGGAAGACUUCAAGAAACUGGGGCUAAUACCGGAUAGGAGCUCCUGCUGCAUGGUGGGGGUUGGAAAGUGUCGGCGGAGGGGGAUGGACACGAGGCUUAUCAGCUUCUUGGUGGGGUCGGGACUUACCAAGGCUUUGACGGGUAGCCGGCCUGGCAGGGUGACCGGCCACAUUGCGACUGCGAUACGGCCCAGACUCCUACGGGAGGCAGCAGUGGAGAAUAUUGCACUAUGGGCGGAAGCCUGAUGCAGCAACGCCGCGUGCGGGAUGAAGGCCUUCCGGUUGUAAUCCGCUUUCGCCUGUGACGAAGCGUGAGUGACGGUAAUGGGUAAAGAAGCACCGGCUAACUACGUG
This 468-nucleotide ribosomal RNA is filed under the name uncultured bacterium. Its description in RNAcentral is "partial 16S ribosomal RNA". It matches the Rfam family "Bacterial small subunit ribosomal RNA", at positions 28 to 507 of the family's 1533-position model. The record is from RNAcentral.